This 350-nucleotide ribosomal RNA is filed under the name uncultured bacterium. Its description in RNAcentral is "bacterial SSU rRNA". It matches the Rfam family "Bacterial small subunit ribosomal RNA", at positions 355 to 697 of the family's 1533-position model. The record is from RNAcentral.
UGGGGAAUAUUGCACAAUGGGCGCAAGCCUGAUGCAGCCAUGCCGCGUGUAUGAAGAAGGCCUUCGGGUUGUAAAGUACUUUCAGCAGUGAGGAAGGCGGGUGUGUUAAUAGCACAUUCGUUUGACGUUAGCUGCAGAAGAAGCACCGGCUAACUCCGUGCCAGCAGCCGCGGUAAUACGGAGGGUGCGAGCGUUAAUCGGAAUUACUGGGCGUAAAGCGCAUGCAGGUGGUUUGUUAAGUCAGAUGUGAAAGCCCGGGGCUCAACCUCGGAAUUGCAUUUGAAACUGGCAGACUAGAGUACUGUAGAGGGGGGUAGAAUUUCAGGUGUAGCGGUGAAAUGCGUAGAGAU